GACGAACGCUGGCGGCGUGCUUAACACAUGCAAGUCGAACGGAAAGGCCCUGCUUUUGUGGGGUGCUCGAGUGGCGAACGGGUGAGUAACACGUGAGUAACCUGCCCUUGACUUUGGGAUAACUUCAGGAAACUGGGGCUAAUACCGGAUAGGAGCUCCUGCUGCAUGGUGGGGGUUGGAAAGUUUCGGCGGUUGGGGAUGGACUCGCGGCUUAUCAGCUUGUUGGUGGGGUAGUGGCUUACCAAGGCUUUGACGGGUAGCCGGCCUGAGAGGGUGACCGGCCACAUUGGGACUGAGAUACGGCCCAGACUCCUACGGGAAGCAGCAGUGGGGAAGAUUGCACAAUGGGCGGAAGCCUGAUGCAGCAACGCCGCGUGCGGGAUGACGGCCUUCGGGUUGGAAACCGCUUUCGCUCAUGACGAAGCUUUGUGUGACGGUAGUGGGUAAAGAAGCACCGGCUAACUACGUG
Molecule: ribosomal RNA, 469 nt
Filed under: uncultured bacterium
Lineage: Bacteria
Description: partial 16S ribosomal RNA
Rfam family: Bacterial small subunit ribosomal RNA
Source: RNAcentral